AUUAGAGUUUGAUCAUGGCUCAGAUUGAACGCUAGCGGGAUGCCUUACACAUGCAAGUCGAACGGCAGCGCGGACUUCGGUCUGGCGGCGAGUGGCGAACGGGUGAGUAAUGUAUCGGAACGUGCCUAGUAGCGGGGGAUAACUACUCGAAAGAGUAGCUAAUACCGCAUACGCCCUACGGGGGAAAGGGGGGGAUCGCAAGACCUCUCACUAUUAGAGCGGCCGAUAUCGGAUUAGCUAGUUGGUGAGGUAAAGGCUCACCAAGGCGACGAUCCGUAGCUGGUUUGAGAGGACGACCAGCCACACUGGGACUGAGACACGGCCCAGACUCCUACGGGAGGCAGCAGUGGGGAAUUUUGGACAAUGGGGGCAACCCUGAUCCAGCCAUUCCGCGUGUGCGAUGAAGGCCUUCGGGUUGUAAAGCACUUUUGGCAGGAAAGAAAUCGCACCAAUUAAUACUUGGUGUGGAUGACGGUACCUGCAGAAUAAGCACCGGCUAACUACGUGCCAGCAGCCGCGGUAAUACGUAGGGUGCAAGCGUUAAUCGGAAUUACUGGGCGUAAAGCGUGCGCAGGCGGUUCGGAAAGAGAGGUGUGAAAUCCCAGGGCUCAACCUUGGAACUGCACUUUUAACUACCGAGCUAGAGUAUGUCAGA
This 655-nucleotide ribosomal RNA is filed under the name uncultured bacterium. RNAcentral describes it as "bacterial SSU rRNA". It matches the Rfam family "Bacterial small subunit ribosomal RNA", at positions 1 to 655 of the family's 1533-position model. The record is from RNAcentral.